AUUGAACGCUGGCGGCAUGCCUUACACAUGCAAGUCGAACGGCAGCGCGGACUUCGGUCUGGCGGCGAGUGGCGAACGGGUGAGUAAUACAUCGGAACGUACCCUGUUGUGGGGGAUAACUAGUCGAAAGAUUAGCUAAUACCGCAUACGACCUGAGGGUGAAAGUGGGGGAUCGCAAGGCCUCACGCAGCAGGAGCGGCCGAUGUCUGAUUAGCUAGUUGGUGGGGUAAAGGCCCACCAAGGCGACGAUCAGUAGCUGGUCUGAGAGGACGAUCAGCCACACUGGGACUGAGACACGGCCCAGACUCCUACGGGAGGCAGCAGUGGGGAAUUUUGGGCAAUGGGGGCAACCCUGAUCCAGCAAUGCCGCGUGUGUGAAGAAGGCCUUCGGGUUGUAAAGCACUUUUGUCCGGAAAGAAAUCGCGCUGGUUAAUACCUGGCGUGGAUGACGGUACCGGAAGAAUAAGCACCGGCUAACUACGUG
This 484-nucleotide ribosomal RNA is filed under the name uncultured bacterium. RNAcentral describes it as "partial 16S ribosomal RNA". It matches the Rfam family "Bacterial small subunit ribosomal RNA", at positions 30 to 507 of the family's 1533-position model. The record is from RNAcentral.